Regulatory RNA element from Treponema denticola ATCC 35405, 128 nucleotides. It matches the Rfam family "TD-1 RNA". From Rfam's summary of the family: non coding RNA found in Treponema denticola Lineage: Bacteria; Pseudomonadati; Spirochaetota; Spirochaetia; Treponematales; Treponemataceae. The record is from Rfam.
AAAACACUGCGAGUUUGCCUUGCGGGCAAACUUCGCUUUAUUGUAUGCCGUUUCUCACUUUGUUGCGAAACGGCGGAAAAUAAGCAAUGCUCAGAAACUGAUGUUUCUUCCGCUUGCUUAUUUUAAUA